This is a non-coding RNA of Oryctolagus cuniculus (rabbit), 12781 nucleotides long. NCBI's taxonomy places the organism in Eukaryota, Metazoa, Chordata, Mammalia, Lagomorpha, Leporidae. The record is from RefSeq and is a predicted model, not a curated record.
AUCAAAUGCUUUACCUUGCUGGAAAUAUUAUUUAUGAAAGCAAAUUGGAUUAAAAUAUAAGAAAUAGAAAGUAUCUUUUAUAUACACUACAAUCUCUACAAUUUUAAAAAAUUAGCCACACGAAAUCUACUUAAGAAUAUCUUAAGAAAUAUAGAUAUCAUUAUAGUAAUACAUGAAAAUGUGCAGCUUUAACUGUAUAAGUAACCUAAAGCACCAUUUCAUUUAACUUGUGAACUUCCUUUUUAUAAAUGUGGAAAUUAACUAAUUGGUGAAAUUCACAGAUUGCUGAAAUUCAAAUUAAUUUUGUGGCAUCACUAAUCUUAUGGGCUCUUUAAUCAUAAAGAUUAAAUAAAAUACAAUCAAACAGAGCUACAAAAAUGAAUACCAUGAAAACCGACUUUUAUUUAUCAAAUGAAGUUCAUCACUAAUCUCAUGGAUGCCGCUUAUGUGUUCCAAACCUCACGCUGCAUAAUGCCAUAAGAAUGAAAUGUCUGAUGAAAUCGUGCCUAAUAAAAGACAGAAGGUGCUGCCUGGAAACUGAGUAGGGUCUGCCCUGGUUCAAAUAUAUUUCAUUAAAAAUACUUAAAAGUGUUCUGAAUUCAGAACAUUAUGGAAAUUUAAAAGACUCAAUAGAACUGUACUAUGGGCAUCUGUACUACAGCUUAAGCUUUUGCCUGCAGUGCUGGUAUCUCAUAUGGGUGCCACUUGGAGUCCCAGAUGCUCUGCUUCCAAUCCAGCUCCCUGCUCAGGUGCCUGGGAAAGCCACGGAAUACAGCCCAAGUCCCUGGGCCCCUACACUGAUGUGGGAGACCCAGAAGAGGCUUCUGGCUCCAUGCAUCCGCCUGGCCUAGCCCCGGCCAUUGUGGCCAUUUGGGGAGUGAAACAGCAGGUGGAAGACCUCUCUCUCUCUCUCUCUCCUUCUUUCUCUGUAUUUCUGCCUUUUAAAUAAAUCAAAACCAUACUACCACAUGGACUGAAUCAUAUAGAUUAUACUAGCAGUUAAAUUUAGCAUACACAUAUGCAAAACAACAUUAAUGAAUAGAUAUUGAGCUUUGCAUCCUUGGAACAAUGCUUGACAUAUGCUAGGUAUUCAGUAAACAAGGUGAAUGAUCAAAACAUUGAGUGCAGACGAAAUUUCUCCAUUCCGUAAGACACUGUUGACAGAGGCUGGGGCAACGUGAGAGUGUUAUGCCUGCCUUCUAGCUCUGCUCCAUGGUCCCUUCUUUUAUGUGUAGUCAUGAGCUUUCUUAUCUGCGUGUCUGUUUCAGCUUUCCACGUUGUUCUCAACACUUGGUUGUCAUUUUUAAUUCAUUUAUUUCUAAAGAUUUAAUUAUUUGAAAGAGUUAGAGAGAGAAGGAUAGAGAGAGAGAGAAAGCUAACUUCCAUCUGCUGGUUCACUCCCCAAAUGGCCACAAAGACUGGGGCUGGGCCAGGCCAAAGCCAGGAGCCAGGAAUUUCUUCUAGGUCUCCCACAUGGGUGGCAGGGGCCCAAGCACUUGGACCAUCUUCUGCUGUUCUCAGGUGCAUCAGCAGGGAGCUGGAUGGGAAAUGGAGGUGCCAGGACUCUUGAAUCAGUGCCCACAUGGGAUGCUGUCAUCACAGGUAGCAGCUUAGCAUGCUAUACCACAGCACUGGCCCUAGACAUUUCUUACAUGAUCAGUUUAGAGAGCCUUCUCUGAGACUGUUUAAACGUCAGCCCAUACAAUUAGGCUCAAUGCCUCAUCACAUGCAUUCAAACCUGUAUCACUCAUUUCAGUCUGGGCUGGAGGAAGUUGAACACCAACAUGGUAAUAAACACUCUGUCUUUAAGCAAACACAAGAGUAUGCCACUGUGCUGAUGACCCUUGUCCUCUUAUCAUGCCCGCUGAGAAAUUUCAGUGCUGCCAAAAGAAUGUGUGGUUUGCUCCAGGCCUCUGGCUUCCCUUGUCUUUGAGACUCUCCCAUCUGCUUUCCAAAGCUUGCCAUUUCAAGUCCUUUCUGUGUCCCUUUGAGAUGCAUCUCCUACAUGCAGGGGUGUCUGUCUUUGAACUGCAAGCAUCCAUAAAGAAAGAAGACAGACGCUCCUAUCUGCCAACCCUUGUGGGAGUGCUGGGCUCUACGACUUUAGCAAGCACCACUGAGCAGACUCAGAUGGCCUCAUCACACUGAGCAACCUUCUCUACUCCUGUGCCCUUCGGUCCAUCUCCUUUCUGCAUGCCCUACUAUUUUAAAAGCCCCCCGCUUUUGUUUCAGAGGAGUUGAGCUCCGUUUAGACCGCAGCCCCUCUCCCCCACUGCAGUAGCCGGGGGAGAAGCAGCCCUCUGGCUUGUAGCUUAUGUCUGGCUCUGUUUCUCUUUGAUGGCAGUAGAAUGUCUUCAGCUCACACGUGGCUUUUCCUUCUGGUUUACUGAGAAAGUGUAAAUCAUCCUUGUGAUCUCCCCUAGCUUUGCAGCUCUCAACCAAAACGUCAAUGCACUCUGCUACAGGAUUGCCUUCUCUCCUCUGAUUUCAGAGGUGGUGUUUUCUGCUUUUCAGGGCCAUGGCUUUUUUUUUUUUUUUUUUUUAUAGGCAGAGUUAGACAGUGAAAGAGGAAGAGAGAGAGACAGAGAAAAAGGUCUCCCUUCUGUUGGUUCAUCCCUCUAAGUGGCCGCUGUGGCCGCUAUGGCCGGCACCGCGCCAAUCCGAAGCCAGGAGCUUCUUCCUGGUCUCCCAUGAGGAGGCAGGGCCCAAGGACUUGGGACAUCCUCCACUGCCCGGGAGAGCUGGACCAGAAGAGGAGCAACCUGGACAGAACCGGCGCCCCAACCGGGACUAGAACCCGGGGUGCCGGCACCGCAGGCAGAGGGUGAGCUGCAGCGCUGGCCAAGGGCCAACGCAUUUCUAAGAGCUCUGAUUUUCACUUCCCCACCAUUCACAGUUCUCCCUUUUCUACAUGAUCAAAUCUCCUUUAAACCGCAUUCUUCCUCUUGGCAUAGCAAACUCCUUUCUGCACAGAUUUUAAACUCCCCCUGGUCUUAUUAAAUUCAAAUUCACAGUGUAAAAAGCAAAAUUGGAUGCUAAUUUCUAUUUCCCAUUCUAAGGCCAAUAUUAUUUCCACUAUGCUUCUCAGUCUCAUGGUCAAUGGGGAUAAGAGAGCCUACAUUUUUCACAGUGUCAAAGAAAAUCACUUUACUGAAAAGCUUCAAGUUAUUCAAAUGCAAGUAUCUAAUUUGAUGUUCUUACUCAUGUUCUGAAUACUAAAAUGGACAUCAAAACAGAAACAGGUAUGAACACAGUCCCGAAGCCCACAUCUUAGCUGAGCACUCUCCGCCCUCAUGCUCCUGUUAACAUAUCUUCCUCCACUGUGCCAUCAAUUUCUCCUUCCCAGCUCAUAGCAGACGACAUAGAUCUUCCCCAAAUGGUCCAUAAAUUCUCCUGUCCAGCUCCUACCCAAAUCCACAGAAACAAUAGCUCCCUACGCAAAACCUGAUGUCAUAACAUCACCAAGGCAACAUAACCCUGAAGAAAUAAGAUGCAAAUUUUGUCCUGACAAUUAAUUAGCUGCAGUGACAAUCUUAGUUGCUAUGCCUGGCAAGCAGUACAAAUCGACAUCAGUCCCCUGACAAUCUUCUUGUCCUCGUUGGCAGUAAGUAAAAUAACAGAUCUCUGUUCAGAAAGUAUUUUUUUUCCCUCAACCAAAAUCACAAACUUUUAUUGUCAGGCCACCUCAGGGGAAGUACCCAUUUUUCACAUGUGGAUUACACAGCAGCUGAAACUGCUCCGGGUUUCACGGUGGCCAACAAAAGUCCCCUGUGCAGAGUCAAGAGAGAACGAGGGUCAAACUAAUUUGAAGUGGCAGGGCAAGCACAGGAAUGCACUUUAAGAUUAAGAGCUUUAUAUCACUUAGCGCACUAAUGAAAACACAAGGCGAACCCCAGGCUUUUCAACAAGGCAGAUCAGUCCCUGAUUUGGUGGACUGCCAAUCAACAAAAUAGACACACCUGCAGAGCUGUAAGUGGAGCCGGAAGACGCUGGUGGCAUGUUCUAGCAGCAGACUGGGGUGUUUAAUAGGCAGAGAAAGAACUUGAGACUUCACUUCAAUGGUGCUCCCAUGGAGAGUGAUGACUCCACACUGUAAAACUGUGAUUUGGUUUCCACACACUCUGACUGGGAGGUUAGGUUUUCUUUAGUCUUUUAUUUCCUGCCUUCUUGAUUCAUUUUAAUUGUACCUAAAGCAAGGGCUGUAUUUACACAGGUGUGUCGUACUGAACUUUCCAAAUUUGUAAAGCUAUUAUAAGAAGAUACCAUUACAAAAAAUUUAGUUUACAGAACUAGCUGGCUUUUGUUCCCAAUUGUAAAUUUGGGAAACACCUCUUUCCAUAAACGAGUAUGAGUGUUCUGAUGAGUUUAUGCAGGAGAACUUUCUUAAUCUGUCAGUGUAUGAAAAUCUUUGUGGUUACUGAGGACACUGAUUCAUGAGUAAGGUUACAGAAUCUUAUUAUAAAUAUAUAUUUUACAAUAAAAAAUAAGACUAUGAAAGAGAAUUUUUCUAAAAAUAAAUAGCAUGCCCUGUGUCUCUGGUGUCAAGGCCUGUCUACCUUCAGACAGUGACGAUGACAUUAACUCAGUGAUUUCAAGGUCAGGAGCAAGGGCAUCAAGCCACAAAGAUUUUUGUUCUUUAGAGGCUCUUGUAUAGUUCAAUAUCUUUUUUUUUUUUUUAGGAUUUAUUUAUUUCUUUGAAAAUCAUAGUUACACAGAGAAAGAGGUUUUACAUCCACUGGUUCACUCCCCAAUUGGCCGCAAUGGCCGGAGCUGUGCCAAUCCAGAGCCAGGAGCCUCUUUCAGGUCUCCUAUGUGGGUGCAGGGGUGCAAGGACUUGGGCCAUCCUCCACUGCUUUCCCAGGCCACAGCAGAGAGCUGGAUCAGAAGUGGAGCAACCAGGGCUCAAACCGGUGCCCACAUGGGAUGCCAGCACUGCAGGCAGCGGCUCCAACAGCUACCGCCACAGUGCCAGCCCUAAUAGUUCAGUAUCUUAAUACAUGGUGAUCACAGCUGGGAGGAUUUGUUUUACUUUGUGCACUGUCCUGUAUCAACAGUCUUUAAAUGUUUGUAAAGUCCUGUGGUCCUCCUCCAACCUGCAUGUCUUUCAUACUCAUUCCAAAUAUUAAAAGUCUAAUAUUACCAACACAUUCCAUUCCCCAGUGCCCCCUCCUGUUUACCUACAAAUGAGCCUUUCCCCAGCCUGUGCCUGCUCCUGCCACAUUUGUAUCUUGACACUUUCUAUCACAGGUGAUGUCGUUCAUGUACCUGAUGUAGCCUGGUCUUGAAUACCCUCCCCCAUUUUCAAAUAUUUAAAAACACUUUAUCUUCUCCACAAACACAUUCACUGAACUGCUUCCAGAAGUUGCCCUUGAUAAUAUUCUUUUCCAUUCCUUUUCACACUGAAUUGUCUUAGAACUCUGGUACAGUCAGGGACCAGAAAUUCUUUCUCCUUCCUUCCUAUAUUUACUGGGCAUUUGUUGUCUGCCCUGCCCUGAAAUAUGUCUUAAGUAAACCAGCCUUGCAUGUUGUGAGAAUGACUGUGUGUCAGGCACCCUGCUAAGCUCUUCAAUAAAGCAUUUGCCAGGGUGGCACAAUGAUAAAAGUGGGAAGCGAUAGACCUGGCAGGGGGUGGGGGAGGGGAUGAGAAAGCAUACUGCAAUGGGCCAUCCUGUAGAUAUGUAGAAAAGGCCAGGGGAGCACUACACAAGGAAGGUGAUCAGAGGCCAUGCACAGAGGGCAGGAAAGAGACAGACAUUUCUUGCUGGUCCCAGUCUGCAGCAUUUUAAUGCAAAGUCACACUCAUACAAUUUCAUUUGCGUGAAAAGACACAAAACCUAGAGCAAGUAACACAUUUUCUGGUGGACACCAACCUUCCUUCACCCUCUCUUGUUGUCCAGAACACUAGGGCAAGCAUGGAUAUCCCUGUAGGAACCUAAGAAUCCUUAUGUGAAUACAUCCCAUCUCUCCUCAUAGUUAUUACACCAUAUCACUCUCCUUCCUAGCACUUGGCAUAGAUGCGAUUUUGAAUUUUUAAAAACAUGGUUACUUGAUAACUUUCUAUAAUACUAGACUGUAAAAGCUACAAUGGCAGAAUUGUGCCCUUUGUAUCCUGAGUAACUAACAUAAUACCUGCCAUCUUAAAAUGCUCAAUAAAUGGGUCUCAUCAAAAAUCAAUGAGUGAUAACAUUAUGAGCUGCUAAGUUGCACAUAAACUUAGAUUCAUAUCUUGUAUAAUGUUUCUAAUAACUCUGUUUAAAAUAUGAGAUGAAUGGUUCCUUUUAAAUAUUUUAUUGACAGAGGAUUUCAAAUCUUUAUGGGGUACGGUAUGAUGUUUUCAUACAUUGCUACAUUGUGUAUUGAUGAACUCAAAGACCUUGAUUAUCCCUAAUCUCAAACAUUCAUCAAUUCUUUGUGGUAAGAACAUUCUAAAUCCUCCCUUCUAGCUAUUUUGGAUAAUAUGACAUAACACUGUUAACUAUAAUCACCCUCUGUGUAGAAUUCCACCAGAAUGUAUUUCUUCUAUUUAACUGUGACCGCAUUGUUCCCAUCAAGAAUUCCCUCACCCACUCCCUACCCCCAGUCUUCUCAGCCUCUGGUAACCUCUCUUCUGCUCACUAAGAUAACUGAGUAUUUGAGACCUAUCAAAUAGCAGUGUUAAGAUGUAAAUCCAGCUCUGUAUGGCCUUUCUGCAGCUGUACUCUGAGCCCCUACGUUAUAUUAGCUCACAAAAAGAUCCAUGUUCUGUACAGAAAAAGGGAAGAUGGUUAAUGCAGAAAGUUUACAGAAACAGCAGGGGCUAGAAGCAACAGACAGAGUGAAGAGUUAUUUUUAGCAAGGCCAUCUGACACAGAAUUCUUGAAUUUUGAAUUCCCACUACUUUUUAUUUUCUACAAUGAACAAAAUAAAGAUAUAUUACAAACAACUGAAAUAUCCAAAAUAAGAUAACUGUUAAGGCUUACCUAUGUGGCAGAACACUAUGUAGUUGCUUAAACUCAUUAUAAGAAUACAGAAAAAUGUUCAAGAUACAUCAUUAGAUGGAAAAGGUAGACUAUAAGCUAAACCAUGAUUUCAGUUUUGUUAAAGUACAUAUUGGAUAUGUUUUAAUAUUGUUAGAAUACACAUUUUAGGAUACAUACCAAAAUGUUAGUGGUGAUGCUAUGAACAGUAGAAUUAUGGAUGAUAUUAAUUUUCUGUUUUUAAUUUUUUCUUAUUUUCUCUAAUUACCAUAUGUUGCUUUUAAAUUCUUGGACGGCGUAAUUCAUAUAAUUCACUGUGAAAUAUUAACAAUGGUAUUUUUAUAUUUUUAAAAAUGUAAGCUACUGAGAAAGCUUAUAAUACUGAAAUAAUACUGAAAAUCCCCCAAAAUAUGUUUUGACAGCAUUCAAGUUCAAAAUAGAAUUACCCUGUGUUUUUUCCUGCUUUUAUAUAUAUAUAUAUAUUUAUAUAUAUAUAUAUAUAUAUUACAGGCAGAGUGGACAGUGAGAGAGAGACAGAGAGAAAGGUCUUCCUUUGCCAUUGGUUCACCCUCCAAUGGCAAAUCAGGCACACCGCACUGAUUUGAAGCCAGAAGCCAGGUGCUUCUCCCAGUCUCCCAUGGGGUGCAGGGCCCAAGCACUUGGGCCAUCUUCUACCGCACUCCCAGGCCAUAGCAGAGAGCUGGCUUGGAAGAGGGGCAACCAGAACAGAAUCCGACGCCCCGACUGGGACUAGAACCCGGUGUGCCGGUGCCGCUAGGCAGAGGAUUAGCCUAUUGAGCUGCAGCGCCAGCCAUUUCCUGCUUCUUUCUACAUAAUUCUGCUACCCAAAGUGAUGUCCUUAGCGACUAUUUUAUGACACAUUUGCAGUUGAUGCAUUAAUUUUGGGGUCUGGUUUUUUUGUCCAACACAUACACCAAAAUAUACAUUUUUCAAAAAUGUGGAUUCUAAAAUAAAUAGUUUGCAUCCAUAACAUUACUAAACAUCCCAGAGUCCCUGUAACCAUACUAGGCUUAUUUUCGUAGUCAACGUUUGCCUUUCGGCUGCCUUGGGAUCUGGCUUCCUUCCCGGAUUAUAUCUUGGCUCCUGCUAAGAGCCAACCAAGUGGUGAAAAUGCAGAUGUAGAAGCCAAAAGACUGGAAAGAAGAGAGCUUACUAAAUAAGCCAGCCUGGCAGCUAGCUAGCAGGCUGUUUCUGGUAGAGGGAAGCCAAAGAGAAGCUACCCCAGUGAGCUGCUGAGGGGGUUCCAGGGUGGAUCACAGAACAGCUGGGACACGUUUUAGGGAGUUCAGAAAAUGGGAGGUUCCAAAUCUGACUUCUGACUGUCACCUAAUUAUACUUCUCAUUUGCUUAUGCCCAAUGAGUGUCUCUCCUUUUAUUUCCUCCUAUGGUGUUUUCUACUUUCUUUACAUUCUAUGAUAAUAAGUGCCAAAUUUUAAUAGUGAAAUUUGUGUGCCUUGCUAUGUGUCUGAGUAGAAACAUAAGCUGGCCUAAUUGUCCCCAAAAAUCUACACCCAGAAUAAAAUAUAAGACCGAGAAGGGAAUAGAUUCCUGAAAACAUUAGCAGGAUAUCCUUAACCUCCUACAAACUCUAUGGAAAUCAGAGCCCCCGGAAAACCUAGGGGUCUUGCCAAAGUAUGAGGGUAACCUUGGAGUUAUUCUCCUGGGAUACUGAGCAAUAAAGAACAAAAGGAGUAUUGAGCAAACAACAGACAGAUGUGGAUUACUGAGGACUACAGGCCAGACAAAGCCUGUGUUGGCAAUCAGAGGUGGCAGAGUAAAGUCCAACUCUCCCAAAUCCCCGUCUCUAAAGGCAAGUGGGAGCCUCCCAGCAGAAGCUAUGGGGUAAUCCGAGGAUUCUGUUUCAGGAAGGGUUUGCCCUUCAGAAAGAGCGUCUAUGCUUACACAUGCAUAUUACUUUACUCUUAAUUCGGCCUAAACUAAACAUUUAACUAUAAUACUAUACCCCUUAUUUAUGAGAUAUUCUGUAUAUCUAUUUAAAGGUAAUAAAUCUAUAAGGAAUCCUGAUGGUAUUAGAACUGUUUAGUGUCUGGAUUCUGGUAGCAAAUAAAUGAACCUACACAGAUGCUAAAGUGUAUCGAAUUUAAUACCCACAUACACAUCAACGAAUACAAAUAAAAAUGGGGAAGCCAAAAUAAGAUAUUUGGAUUGUGUAAACGUCUGUAUAUAAGUUGUGAUAUUGUAUAGUAGAUUCAUGAAAUGUUAAUAUUGGAGAAAGCUAGGCAAAAAUGUACAAGAGAUCUGUGUUAUUUCUUAUAAUUUAUAUGAAUCUAUCAUUGUCUCAAUUUAAAAAAAAAAAUCUUUAAAUAGCCAGCCAACAUCCAGUUAAAUGAGAUGUGUCGUAUAUUCCUACCUUGGAAAAUGUAUACUCACAAUUACCUGGAAUCCAGGCACAAGGCACAGUUUCCCUGACUCCUUGGAGUUUGGUGCAGGAUUGUGGCUGCCUUUAAGGAAGCAGUCCCAGCCCGGUGUCCUGCCUUCUCUUCUCAGGCUCCAGCAGCACUAUGUAAGGUGCCUGAAAUGCCCAUUUAUGAACGCCCAAGCUUGCAGAACACACAAGCUCCAUCUGCACUCCUUACACCUCUCAAGGCAACUCUUCCUUGGCCAUUUUGUGCAAGAGUCAGAACCCCAUUAAUGUAAAGUACUGGGUCCCAGAUACUUGGAGCUGGUCUUCCUGCCUGACAGGAGGGGCUGUAGCUUCUGCAUGGGAAAAUCUCCUUGACUCUCUAAUUCGCCACGUUGCAGAGAGGCAAGGUCAGAAAAGGGCCCAGGAUAAGACCCAAGGAAGGAACAUUCUUAUUAAAAGAGGUAUCAGCCAUCACUGCUUAUAGAUAGGAGAAUUGGGAAAGUAGAGAAAUUAUGGCUCCUGCAAUUAAUGGAAAACUAGUGCUCACAGGUUUCUAGCCAGAUCUCUUGGAGCCCAGGCUAUAAUGCUAUAGCAUACCAUCUUCUUUUGGAAACAUGAGUAAAAUGCUCAUUUCCUAUCAUUAAGGAGUCCACAGGGGCUGUCCUACCUACUCACAUAUUUCCUAAUUAUGAGUCAGAUAGGUAAUUGCCUUUCUCAGGACUUGUGUCAUUUAUUUAAUAAUGUAGAUUAUUGCUGAAAUCAAAUCCAAUUCUACAAGCAUUCAUUGAGAACAUAUGCCACAGUCAUUUAGACACUAUUCAUUAUCUAUAGGGCUAGGUCCUUAAUCUUCAUUAAUUCAGGUGCCAACUUGACAACAUAAAAAAAUAGAUGCUACAUUUAUAGAAAUGCACUUUGCAGAAAUCACCACAAACAGUAAUGCUUUAGUGGGCAUCCUGAGGCCCUUCUAUGCACUUUGCUCUGUUUUCUCAUUUCUAGAAAUUUCUCCCUAGUUUCAAAGAAUAAAUGGAUUAUGUAGGAUGAUACAUACCCUCCCUUCUCCCAAGUAGGCAAAAUGGACAAUGGAGAGAAAUGGAAAUGGAGAAGAGUAGAAAGCUUAGGCAUGAGGGAUAUUUUCAGAUUUGUCAACCUAUGUCUUCCCAGAACCCUACCCUCUAAAUCUAAGAAAGAUCAGUAACUCCUGGCUCCUUUCAGUCAAGAAAGUCUCAGUCUGUUUCUUCAAGGUUCCCCAGUAUUUCCUAUUGAUGGAGGGAUUUAGACAAAAUGGGACUGACUCCACCCUACAUCACACUCAGCAUACUGAGUGGUCCACCCUACCAGCUGGGGAAAAACACACUUCACUGCCACACUGUGCCCUGGGUACUUGUCAUACAUCUCUUCUAGUCAUCGUUGCUGAAGAUGAGGGCAUAUCAGGAAGACAUGUGGAUGUGAGGACAGGAGUCAGGAGCACUUUUACAGACAUUCCAGAGAUAUAUUCUUCUGGCUUCUUUUGUGCAUCACGUUUCAAUAAGGCUCUGGAACCCAAAAUCUUCAGGUAAGAAAAUGUUACAUUAGCAAGACAAAUUUAGGGGAAAGACGGAAAAAGUUGGGCAUUAUAAAUGUGGAUAAGUAAAGGAAAUAUUUGGUUAAAGUUAAAUAGUUGAGACUCACAGCCAAGUUUUACUAUUUCUUUUCAAUUCCUUAUAAUUAAAACUACUAUUUGACUAUUUAAAAUGAAAAAAUAGAAUAUCAUUCUGAAAAUGAAAUAACUAAUUGGCAAAAUUCAAGAAUGCUAAAGUAUUUGAAAUAUGUAAAAAGAAUUCACCUACAAUAUUUUCCCAGUAUAGAGCAUGCUGAAAGUGAAUGAAAUCAGUCACUGACGCGAGCUGGGUCACAAAGGACUGAAGAGUGGGAUAUUGCCAAAGAAGGGGGUCAGUGCCAAGGGGACAAAGCAAGAGGGCAUGCCACCCUUGGCAGCAAGGCAGAGGUGGGUCUCCCACAUCACCGAGAGAGAUCCAUCAACAUGUGGACAGCUUGGGCCAGCACUGUGGCGGAACAGGUAGAGCUGCUGCCUGCAAUGCCAGCAUCCCAUGUGGGCACUGGUUCAAGUCCCAGCUGUCCACUUUGAUUCAGCUCCCUGCUAAUGCACCUGGGAAAGCAGAGGCAGAUGGUCCAAGUCCUUGGACCCCUGCACCCAAGUGGGAAACCUGGAAGAAGUUUCUGGCUCCUGGCUUUGGCCUGGCCCAGCCCUGGCCAUUGUGGCCAUUUGGGGAGGGAACCAGUGGAUAGAUGAAAGGUUCUCUCUCUCUCUCUCUCUCUCUCUCUCUCUCUCUCUCUCUCUGCCUCUCUGUCACUCUUUCAAAUAAAGAAAUUUUCAAAAAAAAAAAAAAUAAGCAGACAUCUGCAGGAACUGAAAGUGCCUCCUGCCACCACACUGUCCUCUCUGCCUUCUACUCUCAACAUAGCUACCAAAGACCCACCCCAGGCCCCAAGUUCUUCCUGUUAUAUUUGAAAGAAAACUCAGAACGUACCUUCCCAUGCCCUCCAGUGCAUAAUCUAGUUCCUCAUUGUUUCUUCAAUUACAUUUCCCAUUAUUUUCUCCCCUUGUGUAUUCUACUUGAUCCACUCAGAUCAACUAGCUGUUCCACUGGUUCUUCAUGCUUGCUGUCAUUUCAAGAACUUUGUAUUUGCUCUAUCCUCUGUCCAGGAAUUUCUUCCUAUAAUUGUCACACAGCUCCCUUCUGCAGUUAGUCAGCUCCCUGUUGAAAUGACAUUCCCCAAUCCAAAAUCAAAAUCUCCCAUUACCUUAUCCAAAAAAAAGAAUAGAAUUCACUUAAAUCACUCUCCCUCCUCCUAUCUUUGCUAUUCUUUCUUCACAAUAAGAGAUACGGAAACCAUGCUAUUUUCGUUCAUUUAUAGACUAACCUCCAUUCUGGUUUAAAAACCCAUGAAAGCAGACAGUUUCUUUGGAUCGCCUCUGUUUCUGCAGUGCCUACAACUCAUGCAGUGUGUGGUGAACACUCAAUAGCUGUGGAAGCGGCAAAUGAAGGCAAGUGAGGGCUCAACAGUAGAGUGCGAUGCGGGCGAUGAAGAGGGCUGCCCUCAGAAGCUUGUAUCAAUAUUCUCGGUGGAGGCAGGCAGCUGGAGACAUGGUUAAGUCACCGCUUUGUUUGCGAGCGUCCUGUAUUGGAGUGCCUGGUUCAAGUCCCAGCUACACCACUUCUGAUCCAUGGCCCUUGUGAAUGCACAUCCUCGAAGGCAGCGGAUGAUAACCCAAGAACUUGUGUCCUCACCACCCAGGUGGGAGACUGCAUUGAGAUCUGGGCUCCUGGCUUCAUCCUGGCGCAGCCCUGGCUGUUGUGGUCAUUUGGGAAGUGAACCAGCAAAUGGAUGAUCUCUCUCUCUCUCUCUCUCUGUCAAAUAAACAUUUUGUUAAAAAGUU